GCUUGCUUUCUUGCUGACGAGUGGCGGACGGGUGAGUAAUGCUUGGGAAUCUGGCUUAUGGAGGGGGAUAACGACGGGAAACUGUCGCUAAUACCGCGUAUURUCGRAAGAUGAAAGUGCGGGACUGAGAGGCCGCAUGCCAUAGGAUGAGCCCAAGUGGGAUUAGGUAGUUGGUGGGGUAAAUGCCUACCAAGCCUGCGAUCUCUAGCUGGUCUGAGAGGAUGACCAGCCACACUGGAACUGAGACACGGUCCAGACUCCUACGGGAGGCAGCAGUGGGGRAUAUUGCGCAAUGGGGGGAACCCUGACGCAGCCAUGCCGCGUGAAUGAAGAAGGCCUUCGGGUUGUAAAGUUCUUUCGGUAUUGAGGAAGGUUGAUGUGUUAAUAGCACAUCAAAUUGACGUUAAAUACAGAAGAAGCACCGGCUAACUCCGUGCCAGCAGCCGCGGUAAUACGGAGGGUGCGAGCGUUAAUCGGAAUAACUGGGCGUAAAGGGCACGCAGGCGGUUAUUUAAGUGAGGUGUGAAAGCCCCGGGCUUAACCUGGGAAUUGCAUUUCAGACUGGGUAACUAGAGUACUUUAGGGAGGGGUAGAAUUCCACGUGUAGCGGUGAAAUGCGUAGAGAUGUGGAGGAAUACCGAAGGCGAAGGCAGCCCCUUGGGAAUGUACUGACGCUCAUGUGCGAAA
Molecule: ribosomal RNA, 687 nt
Filed under: Haemophilus influenzae
Lineage: Bacteria; Pseudomonadati; Pseudomonadota; Gammaproteobacteria; Pasteurellales; Pasteurellaceae
Description: bacterial SSU rRNA
Rfam family: Bacterial small subunit ribosomal RNA
Source: RNAcentral